ACGGGAGGCAGCAGUGGGGGAUAUUGCACAAUGGGGGAAACCCUGAUGCAGCGACGCCGCGUGAGUGAAGAAGUAUUUCGGUAUGUAAAGCUCUUUAAGCAGGGAAGAUAAUGACGGUACCUGCAGAAUAAGCCCCGGCUAACUACGUGCCAGCAGCCGCGGUAAUACGUAUGGAGCAAGCGUUAUCCGGAUUUACUGGGUGUAAAGGGAGCGUAGACGGCAAAGCAAGUCUGAAGUGAAAUCCCGGGGCUCAACCCCGGAACUGCUUUGGAAACUGUUUAGCUAGAGUGCAGGAGAGGUAAGCGGAAUUCCUAGUGUAGCGGUGAAAUGCGUAGAUAUUAGGAGGAACACCAGUGGCGAAGGCGGCUUACUGGACUGUAACUGACGUUGAGGCUCGAAAGCGUGGGGAGCAAACAGGAUUAGAUACCCUGGUA
This 434-nucleotide ribosomal RNA is filed under the name uncultured Clostridium sp. RNAcentral describes it as "partial 16S ribosomal RNA". It matches the Rfam family "Bacterial small subunit ribosomal RNA", at positions 341 to 792 of the family's 1533-position model. The record is from RNAcentral. Lineage: Bacteria; Bacillati; Bacillota; Clostridia; Eubacteriales; Clostridiaceae.